CAUCGUUUCCGGACAUAUAUAUUAUCAACGAGACAACGAGCUGCAUCUCAGAUGGCUGUAAAGAUUUUGUGUCUCGAUUCUCGGACACUGUUUUGCCUAUGGUGGACCCUUGCGAAGAUUUCUACGAGCAUGUCUGUGGCGGAUGGCUGCUGAGGACUCAUGUUCCACUGGAUGCUUUCGCCGUCAAUGUCUUCUCUGAGAGUCAAGCCAAGUUCAACGAUGAUAUUAUGGACAAGCUGAACCAUUCGAUUGUAUCUUACCGAGGCCAGAACGCCCUGCAAAAGGCUGCAGCUUUUUACCUAGGCUGCAUCAAUGU
This is a long non-coding RNA of Rhipicephalus microplus (southern cattle tick), 316 nucleotides long. The record is from RefSeq and is a predicted model, not a curated record. Lineage: Eukaryota; Metazoa; Arthropoda; Arachnida; Ixodida; Ixodidae.